GAUGAACGCUGACAGAAUGCUUAACACAUGCAAGUCGAUGGGGAAGUGGUGCUUGCACCAUGGCAACCAUUGCGGACGGGUGAGUAACGCGUAAGGGACUUACCUGCAGGACUGGGAUAACAGGGGGAAACUCCUGACAAGACCGGAUAAUGUCAUGGAUCUGCAUGGCUUUAUGAUGAAAGGAGACGCCUGCGGAGAGCCUUGCGUCCUAUUAGCUAGUUGGUGAGGUAAUGGCUCACCAAGGCGAAGAUAGGUAGCCGGCCUGAGAGGGUGGACGGCCACAAGGGGACUGAGAGACGGCCCUUACUCCUACGGGAGGCAGCAGUGGGGAAUAUUGGACAAUGGGGGCAACCGUGAUCCAGCAAUUCUGUGUGCACGAAGAAGGUUUUCGGAUUGUAAAGUGCUUUCAGCAGGGAAGAAGUAAGUGACGGUACCUGCAGAAGAAGCGACGGCUAAAUACGUG
Molecule: ribosomal RNA, 463 nt
Filed under: uncultured bacterium
Lineage: Bacteria
Description: partial 16S ribosomal RNA
Rfam family: Bacterial small subunit ribosomal RNA
Source: RNAcentral